This 270-nucleotide ribosomal RNA is filed under the name uncultured bacterium. RNAcentral describes it as "partial 16S ribosomal RNA". It matches the Rfam family "Bacterial small subunit ribosomal RNA", at positions 29 to 324 of the family's 1533-position model. The record is from RNAcentral.
AACGAACGCUGGCGGCAGGCUUAACACAUGCAAGUCGAACGCUCCUAGCAAUAGGGGAGUGGCAGACGGGUGAGUAACGCGUGGGAAUCUACCCAGCCCUUCGGAAUAGCUCCGGGAAACUGGAAUUAAUACCGAGUACGCCCUACGGGGGAAAGAUUUAUCGGGGUUGGAUGAGCCCGCGUUGGAUUAGCUAGUUGGUGAGGUAACGGCCCACCAAGGCGACGAUCCAUAGCUGGUCUGAGAGGAUGAUCAGCCACACUGGGACUGAGA